UUUCUUGUUUCCCCAUGGCGAGAAAUUCAUACUGCCUUUGUAAUAACUGCAAUCUAAUCUUCUUGACCUUUCCAUAAUUGUCAUAGCCGUCUUGCAAGAUUUCCCAAAUCUCCUUCGUUGUAGUAGCCUUUGAAACUUUCUGAAAAAUUGUCGUAGAUAUGCACUGGUGCAGUAGCAUUCGUGCUUUGCAAUCCAAUUUCCUGUUUUCCUUG
RNAcentral lists this long non-coding RNA (212 nucleotides) under Vigna radiata. Its description in RNAcentral is "long non-coding RNA (VRAD_LNC003129)". Lineage: Eukaryota; Viridiplantae; Streptophyta; Magnoliopsida; Fabales; Fabaceae. The record is from RNAcentral.